UACGUAGGGUGCGAGCGUUAAUCGGAAUUACUGGGCGUAAAGCGUGCGCAGGCGGUUCGUUGUGUCGGCGGUGAAAGCCCCGGGCUCAACCUGGGAAUGGCCGUUGAAACUGGCGAACUGGAGUGUGGCAGAGGGGGGUGAAUUCCGCGUGUAGCAGUGAAAUGCGUAGAUAUCAGGAGGAACACCGAUGGCGAAGGCAGGUCUCUGGGCUGACACUGACGCUCAUGCACGAAAGCGUGGGGAGCAAACAGG
RNAcentral lists this ribosomal RNA (252 nucleotides) under uncultured bacterium. Its description in RNAcentral is "partial 16S ribosomal RNA". It matches the Rfam family "Bacterial small subunit ribosomal RNA", at positions 524 to 776 of the family's 1533-position model. The record is from RNAcentral.